This 235-nucleotide ribosomal RNA is filed under the name Clostridioides difficile. RNAcentral's name for it is "partial 23S ribosomal RNA". It matches the Rfam family "Bacterial large subunit ribosomal RNA", at positions 1572 to 1819 of the family's 2925-position model. Lineage: Bacteria; Bacillati; Bacillota; Clostridia; Peptostreptococcales; Peptostreptococcaceae. The record is from RNAcentral.
AGCGAAAUUUAGUAGCGAAGUAGCUGAUUUCACACUGUCAAGAAAAGUCUCUAUCGAGGUUAAAGGUACCCGUACCGCAAACCGACACAGGUGGGUGAGGAGAGUAUCCUAAGGCCAGCGAGAGAACUGUUGUUAAGGAACUCGGCAAAAUGACCCCGUAACUUAGGGAUAAGGGGUGCCACCAUCAGGUGGCCGCAGAGAAUAGGCCCAAGCGACUGUUUACCAAAAACAUAGG